CUCCCCUUCCACCCCACCCGCCACCCACACUCCGCUCCGCAGCCGGGCCCCGAGCGAGCUCCGCGCGCCCGGGCGGGAGCCGAGGGCUCCCCGGGUUCAAAGGGCCGCAGCCCCGAGGGAAUGCCCUCCUCGCUGUGCCCCGAGGGGCAGAAGCGGACCGCAGGGCGGUGGGACCGGCCCGGGCCACGAUGGUGUUCAGUGACAAGACCCAAACUAUUUGCAAAACUCCAGGACAUGCGUCUUUCUGCGGACAAAAACAGACAUUAUCAAAAGCCUGGAAGGAAUCUUUGACUUUCUCCCAUUUGAACAAACAACAGCUUCAAAGUUGUCGACAGUGUACUAAGCAAAGAUAUGAGAAUAUCCCCAGAAAGGAAAAUACGCCACGACGAAGUUGUUUCCUGUAUGUGAAUGCUGAGAUUUAAGGAAAUAUCGUGGCUCCCCUUUAACUCACAAAUAAAUUCUUUUUUUUUUUUUUGAACAAUUGCUCCCUUUGAGAUUUGCAAAUAGUUCCACUAGUUUACAUAGUUCUUUUUUCCUCCUUCCUUUUAAGUAUACCUCUUAAGUAAGCAGACACUUUAACUUGCCUUCUUAUUAGACAGCUUUUUCUUUAUUGCCUUUUCAUAGCACAGCUAUCAAAAAUAAGAUAAUACGCACGAUCUGGGACCUAAUCAGCUUUCUAGCUGAGUUUAAAGAGUCUAGAGGCUGUUUAAAGGUAGCUCUGGUUAUGUGUGCGGGCUUUACUGCCUUGUUUGCUCGACCACAUUUUGAUGGAGAGGGUAAUGUGUUUGCUAGAUAAGGCAAAAGGGACCAGCCAAAAAAGCAAGGCUCUGUUUGAUAAACCCUGACAUAUUUAGCCAUUUUUCUCCCACAUGAAAGGAAGCUUUAAAACUCUAAGAAAAAUAGAGGUGUCCGUUCAAGCACGCUAAUGUUGAUCAAGACAAAAAAAAAAAAAAAAAAAAAAAAAAAAAGAAGUAAAGAAAAUGGGCAUCUUUUAGUCUAUUAAAUUAAUUAGCUCCAGAGCUUAUCACGCAGUUGAAAAGCUGGAUAAAAUACAAGUCUGUUUCUCGUUGUUGUCAUUUGAUGUGAAGGGUGAGUUCUUUAAGUCAGUGUACGUUGAAAAGACAGUUGUUCUGUUCAGCUUGACUUGCCCUGGUAGAAGGUUUGAACCCUGCAUGAAGGAGCUCAUUAAGCAAAGUUAAACUCUUAUAAGGCCGAUCAGCAUGGACUUGGGAUGAGAACUCAGUCUGAAAUUAGGGUUGAACACACAUGAUGACAGUCUUUGUUAAGUGGCCUAUAGCCUGAAAACAGAUUUAAAAAGC
Long non-coding RNA from Herpailurus yagouaroundi (jaguarundi), 1319 nucleotides. RefSeq lists it as uncharacterized. Lineage: Eukaryota; Metazoa; Chordata; Mammalia; Carnivora; Felidae. The transcript has 3 exons. The record is from RefSeq and is a predicted model, not a curated record.